UCUCACUGCUCCUCUUUCCUCA
This 22-nucleotide microRNA is filed under the name Gallus gallus (chicken). RNAcentral's name for it is "gga-miR-12256-3p". The record is from miRBase by way of RNAcentral. Lineage: Eukaryota; Metazoa; Chordata; Aves; Galliformes; Phasianidae.